UCCCCGUCAAUUCAUUUGAGUUUCACACUUGCGUGCGUACUCCCCAGGCGGGAUACUUAACGCGUUAGCUUCGGCACGGCUUGAGUUGAUACAAGCCACGCCUAGUAUCCAUCGUUUACGGCUAGGACUACGGGGGUAUCUAAUCCCUUUCGCUCCCCUAACUUUCGUCCCUGAGUGUCAGUUGCGGUCCAGUAGAGCGCUUUCGCCACCGAUGUUCUUCCCAAUCUCUACGCAUUUCACCGCUACACUGGGAAUUCCCUCUACCCCUACCGCACUCUAGCUUUUCAGUUUCCACGGCUCCUCCGGGGUUAAGCCCCGCUCUUUCACCGCAGACUUGAAAGGCCACCUGCGGACGCUUUACGCCCAAUAAUUCCGGAUAACGCUUGCCUCCUCCGUAUUACCGCGGCUGCUGGCACGGAGUUGGCCGAGGCUUUUUCCUUGGGUACCGUCAGUUUUCUUCCCCAAGAAAAGAGGUUUACGACCCAAGGGCCUUCUUCCCUCACGCGGUAUAGCUCCGUCAGGCUUGCGCCCAUUGCGGAAGAUUCCCCACUGCUGCCUCCCGUAGGAGUCUGGGCCGUGUCUCAGUCCCAGUGUGGCUGACCAUCCUCUCAGACCAGCUACUGAUCGUUGCCUUGGUAGGCUCUUACCCCACCAACUAGCUAAUCAGCCGCGAGCUCCUCUUCAGGCGUUAACGCUUUCACCCGUAGGCUCAUCGGGGAUUAGCCGCCGCUUCCAGCGGUUAUCUCCGUCCUGAAGGUAGAUUCUCACGUGUUACUCACCCGUCCGCCACUCAGCUCCCGAGGGAGCUGCGUUCGACUUGCAUGUGUUAAGCUUACCGCCAGCGUUCAUCCUGAGCCAGAAUCAAACUCU
RNAcentral lists this ribosomal RNA (870 nucleotides) under uncultured cyanobacterium. RNAcentral's name for it is "partial 16S ribosomal RNA". The record is from RNAcentral. Lineage: Bacteria; Bacillati; Cyanobacteriota.